UACAGAGGGGGCAAGCGUUGUUCGGAAUUACUGGGCGUAAAGGGCGCGUAGGCGGCCUGUUAAGUCGAACGUGAAAUCCCCGGGCUCAACCCGGGAACUGCGUCCGAUACUGGCAGGCUUGAAUCCGGGAGAGGGAUGCGGAAUUCCAGGUGUAGCGGUGAAAUGCGUAGAUAUCAGGAGGAACACCGGUGGCGAAGGCGGGUCUCUGGGCCGAUAUUGACGCUGAGGAGCGAAAGCGUGGGGAGCGAACAGG
Molecule: ribosomal RNA, 253 nt
Filed under: uncultured bacterium
Lineage: Bacteria
Description: partial 16S ribosomal RNA
Rfam family: Bacterial small subunit ribosomal RNA
Source: RNAcentral